UGGGUUGUGGCUCAGUGGUAGAGCACUCGACUGGCACAUGUGAGGCACUGGGUUCGAUCCUCAGCACCACAU
This 72-nucleotide transfer RNA is filed under the name Marmota monax (woodchuck). It matches the Rfam family "tRNA". From Rfam's summary of the family: Transfer RNA (tRNA) molecules are approximately 80 nucleotides in length. Their secondary structure includes four short double-helical elements and three loops (D, anti-codon, and T loops). The record is from Rfam by way of RNAcentral. Lineage: Eukaryota; Metazoa; Chordata; Mammalia; Rodentia; Sciuridae.